UACGUAGGGUGCGAGCGUUGUCCGGAAUUAUUGGGCGUAAAGGGUAGGUAGGUGGUCUCAUUUGUCUGGGGUGAAAGCCUUGAGCUUAACUCAAGAAGUGCCCCGGAAACGGUGAGACUGGAGUCCUGGAGAGGGUCGUGGAAUUCCCGGUGUAGCGGUGAAAUGCGUAGAGAUCGGGAGGAACACCGGUGGCGAAGGCGGCUUCCUGGACCGACACUGACGCUGAGGCGCGAAAGCUAGGGGAGCAAACGGG
RNAcentral lists this ribosomal RNA (253 nucleotides) under uncultured bacterium. RNAcentral describes it as "partial 16S ribosomal RNA". It matches the Rfam family "Bacterial small subunit ribosomal RNA", at positions 524 to 776 of the family's 1533-position model. The record is from RNAcentral.